Molecule: non-coding RNA, 30 nt
Filed under: Rattus norvegicus (Norway rat)
Lineage: Eukaryota; Metazoa; Chordata; Mammalia; Rodentia; Muridae
Source: RNAcentral
UAAAGAAGUAGUGAAAAUACAACUGAAGGG